GAAGACUUAACCAAUCAGACAAGUGC
Molecule: non-coding RNA, 26 nt
Filed under: Mus musculus (house mouse)
Lineage: Eukaryota; Metazoa; Chordata; Mammalia; Rodentia; Muridae
Source: RNAcentral